RNAcentral lists this long non-coding RNA (1980 nucleotides) under Homo sapiens (human). RNAcentral describes it as "HSALNT0396172". Lineage: Eukaryota; Metazoa; Chordata; Mammalia; Primates; Hominidae. The record is from RNAcentral.
AAAGUGACAGCUGCUCCCCGCGCGCAUCGCACGAACGCAGUCACUCACCCCCAGACACCCGAUUACAGCCCACUCAUGCGCAGCCGUACGCACCCGGGGGCCUCGGAUGCUCGUCCAUAUCCCCACAACCUCCUCCCGCGUGGUUUUCCAGACUCCAGCCCCUGGGAGCGGGUGGAGAGGAUAGUGGGGGAAGGGGACAAGGGCCGGCAGCGCUGGCUUCCGGACUGGGCUGUCUUCCGGCGGUCGUGGGAACAGCUGCCGUUGGCUCCCCGACCUCGCAUUCACCAGAGGAGAGGGUGCUGCCAAUACAGGGAAACAGGGCCACCCCGUUCCCAGGUAGCAAUGGGAGGGAGCCCCGCUGUGCGGAGAUCCAGGCACCUUUAAUUCAGCAAGAGGGGCUGAAAAACCCUCCACAUUUUGGAAGAAGGAUCCAAACCCCUGUUUUAGGUAAAGAGAGCCCCCAACGUUUUGGGGGAUGGUCUGAAGGCCGCCAUUUGUAGGGACACAGAGCCCUGGUGUGCAGGUCUGGGCCAGCAGCCCCCAGCUGGAUUGGGGAGCCCACCCCCUCUACUGGUUUCCAGGAACAGCUGGGCCCAGCCUAGGUUGUACUGCUGGGAAGCGGCUGACUCAACCCCUCCCUGUGGCCACAGCUGGACCCCGGCCUGCCCCCUCCAGCGUUCACAUCUGGGCAGGGAUCCAGUCUUCAUCAGGGCUGAGAAGGGGACCCUCAGUCCCACAACUGGAGAACAGUGCCCCUCUGCCACUCCCCUGGCUGACCACAGCCACUGGGUGGACUCCAUGCAUCAUCACCAUGGAGGACUCUGGCAGGCCCCCUACAGCCCAGAUAUUGACAUCCUGCCAGGAACUCCUAGCCAGUCCCCCCUCCCUGUGUCUGUGUGUGUCUGAGUCCAUGUGAAAUGUGCUAGGUUUUUUUGUGUUUUUGAGAGAAAGGGUUUUGCUAUGUUGCCCAGGAUGGUCUCGACCUCCUGACUUCAAGUAAUCCUCCUGCCUCUGCCUCCUAAAGUGCUGGGAUUUCAGGCGUGAGCCACGGCGCCUGGCCAAAUGUGCUGGUCUUUGUAGGUGUGAGAUGGAGGAUCUGUGACUGUGUGUACACGGGCAUGUGUCCUGCAUCCAUUGUGUCAUAAGGCCUUCGAGUUUGUGCAACAGGCUGUGCCUGAUUUGAUGGGGGGGAGGGCUGGUUUCGGGGACUGGGGGAGGGGAAAUUUGUAACAUCCUUGUCGGUAACAUCCUUGUCCGUAACAUCCAGGUUGGGGCCGGGCUUGGUGGCUCGCGCCAGUAAUCCCAGCACUUUGGGAGGUCAAGGCAGACAGAUCACUUGAGGUCAGGGGUUCAAGACCAGCCUGGCCAACAUAGUGAAACCCUGUCUCUACUAAUAAUACAAUAAUCAGCCAGGCGUGGUGGUGAGCGCCUGUAAUCCCAGCUACUCAGGAGGUUGAGGCAAGAGAAUUGCUUGAACCUGGGAGGCAGAGAUUGCAGUGAGCCGAGAACGCGCCAUUACACUCUAGCCUAGGUAACAAAGCAAGACUCCAUCUCAAAAACAACAACAACCAAAAAAACCCAUCCAGAUUUUAGGGUGACUAGGGAACCUCUAGUGUGUGCCCCUGUGUAUCUCUGUAUGGUCCAGGCAGAGUUUGGGUGGGGCUCUCUCACUCCAAUUGCAUCUUCAUGUGUUGUGUGUCUGUGUCUACUAUAUACGUCUAUAUGGGACCUCACUUUGGGUCUAUAUCUGUGUCAUUCUUUUUUUCUUUUUCUUUUUUUGAGACGGAGUCUCACUCUGUCACCCAGGCUGGAGUGCAGUGGAGCGAUCUCGGUUCACUGCAAGCUCCGCCUCCCGGGUUCACACCAUUCUCCUGCCUCAGCCUCCCAAGUAGCUGGGACUACAGGCGCCCGCCACCAGGUGUGGCUAAUUUUUUGUAUUUUUAGUAGAGACGAGGUUUCACCGUGUUAGCCAGGAUGGUC